RNAcentral lists this long non-coding RNA (353 nucleotides) under Panax ginseng (ginseng). RNAcentral describes it as "long non-coding RNA (PGIN_LNC016454)". Lineage: Eukaryota; Viridiplantae; Streptophyta; Magnoliopsida; Apiales; Araliaceae. The record is from RNAcentral.
UGCCAUAAAACAAGGGUUAAUUUAACAAAUUAGCAUAUCACAUAAUAUCCCUAUAUUAUGAUCGACCAACAAAUAAGCUUAGGUAGGACACACUAGCGAAGGAUUUACUCGUCUCUCCCCUUCUAGUUCUAUUCCCCGAUCUCCGCCAGAGAUCAUAUCCCUAAGCUCUGAUACCAACUGUGACGCCCCCAAAAUAGGUCCAAUCCACAACCCAUUCUAAGUCGCCAAAUACAUGGUACAGAAACAACUACAACUUCAUUAAUACAAUUGUCGUGCAAAAUACGACAAUUCAUAUACUGUGAGUUUAAAUACAAAUAUUUCCUUCUAGACAAUAUCCACACUCAAAUAAGUCC